GACAGUCGCUGGCCAUUAUGGUUAGAGGAAAGUCCAUGCUCGCACGAUCUGCGAUGAUCGUAGUGUUUGUGCUGGAUGAAAAAAUAAAUCCAGGCAGUGUUAAACUGACGGCUGAAGGAUGCCUAAGGCUUCAUGCUAUGGCAUAACUUCUUUAAAAGUGCCACAGAGACGAGCUUUAAGAGAAAUCUUAAAGAUGGAACGGGUAAACCCCGCAAGCGAGAAACCCAAAUUUGGUAGGGGAAUCCUUCUUUGGUGAAAUGAAACCAUUGGGGAACAUGAGCAAUCAUGUAGAUAAAUGACUGUCACCUUGAAAAAGGCUACAGAACAUGGCUUAU
RNAcentral lists this RNase P RNA (335 nucleotides) under human gut metagenome. Its description in RNAcentral is "Bacterial RNase P class B". It matches the Rfam family "Bacterial RNase P class B". Rfam says of the family: Ribonuclease P (RNase P) is a ubiquitous endoribonuclease, found in archaea, bacteria and eukarya as well as chloroplasts and mitochondria. Its best characterised activity is the generation of mature 5'-ends of tRNAs by cleaving the 5'-leader elements of precursor-tRNAs. The record is from RNAcentral.